RNAcentral lists this transfer RNA (79 nucleotides) under compost metagenome. Its description in RNAcentral is "tRNA-Pro". It matches the Rfam family "tRNA". From Rfam's summary of the family: Transfer RNA (tRNA) molecules are approximately 80 nucleotides in length. Their secondary structure includes four short double-helical elements and three loops (D, anti-codon, and T loops). Further hydrogen bonds mediate the characteristic L-shaped molecular structure. tRNAs have two regions of fundamental functional importance: the anti-codon, which is responsible for specific mRNA codon recognition, and the 3' end, to which the tRNAs corresponding amino acid is attached (by aminoacyl-tRNA synthetases). tRNAs cope with the degeneracy of the genetic code in two manners: having more than one tRNA (with a specific anti-codon) for a particular amino acid; and 'wobble' base-pairing, i.e. permitting non-standard base-pairing at the 3rd anti-codon position. The record is from RNAcentral.
CUCGGUGUAGGCUAGCCUGGUUUAAGUCGCUUCGUUUGGGACGAAGAGAUCGCUGGUUCGAAUCCAGCCACCGAGACCA